RNAcentral lists this long non-coding RNA (2035 nucleotides) under Malus domestica (apple). Its description in RNAcentral is "long non-coding RNA (MDOM_LNC008497)". The record is from RNAcentral. Lineage: Eukaryota; Viridiplantae; Streptophyta; Magnoliopsida; Rosales; Rosaceae.
AUUAGACAUCUAUGAUGCCUCAGGUCAAAGGACUACUUUGCAUAUUGCAACUAUCGAGUUCUUACGUGACAUGUAUGUUCGAACUCUCUUUUGAUCGUUGUUCAGUGUACUCGAUUACUCUUUCGAGCACCUAUGUGUUUGUCUUAGUGUCCAACACUAAAUGACUUGAGACUAGUCAUACUCACGCUUGAGUCGAUAUAACACAUACUAACCUUAGCGGAUUGUCAAUGCCCAAUUGGCAAUCCUAUGGCUAGGAACGUUUUAGGAAUGAACAUAAGAGAAAGGUCUCGUUAAUCUAACUUACUUAAAUCACUUAUCUCUUAGAUCAAAUACAUUCCUUGGAUUCCCUUAUUGCUUAAACACAUGAUACAAUAAAUAGUGAUUAACAAUAAGCUUUGCCCUUCAUUAAACAUAUAAAAGUUUAAUACAUUAAGUAUUCCAAAAGCUAUUUACAUCAAAUGAGUGGCUUUGUGGGCAUACUUCCAACACUUUGCAUUUCCGGAAACUUGUACUAAUGGGAUACGACUAGCUUCUACUUCUUUCUUCACAACUUGGCUUAAGCCAAGGGCUUACAAUUCUUAGACUUGUGUACUUUGUAAGUUUAUACAUGGAGUAAUUAGGUUCACAUCCUUCUUUUUGUUACUUCAUUGAUUAAAAUCCUAUUCAUUUUUAAUUUUUGAUCAAGGUCCUUGUGACACACCCCAAUCCUAGAAUCAAGGCAUGCUGGCUGUCACGUGAGCGUGACGUAACCAUAAGUGCGGUGCGGAAGCAAAAUAAGAGAAUUACGAAAGAAUAAAAACCAACUACUAGCAAGAAUAACCAAAAGCAUGCUAGAGAGAGAGAGAGUUAAAGUGUGCAACACACAAUUUCAGAGCAUAAGCAACUAGGUGCAGUCAAGUAGGACUAUAAUUAAGUUACAACACCCGCAGGUGAGUCCUACAUUAGGAGAGUCUGUCAGAACACCGAAGAAAGCCUCGUGAGCCACCAACUGCUAACUAGAACCUGGAGGGGCACAAAACAAAAUUGAGUGGGUCAGUAAAACAAAACUUUGCGAAAACCUUUCAUUUAAAACAUUUCUAACCCCUCGCUGUAAAACCUGUAUACUUUCCCAGAAAAUAGCAUACUAGCAUAAUACUUUUCAUUUAUCUCAAAUCGUCAAUCUUUCUUAAAAACCAGAAAGUAUGCCAUGUUAAAAACUUUCAAAAACAGAAUGAAUGAUGCAUCAAUGUAACAGGUGAAAUAAUGAAUUAACUGGAGACCCUACAGUUGAUCCUGUACGGUUAAUUCUAUAGCUCAACAUCAAAUCCAUCCGGAGUCACCUCGGUGACCUGUACGGCACUACACUGCAUAUACAUCGAAACUACCUGAAGUAGUCUGUACGAUAAGGAUGGUGUAAUAAUAAUACGCUCUAGUGCUUCUCUCAUCAAACAUCUGUGUACACAAUCUAAGGUCACCUAUCAGUUGGAACCCUCUCAUGGUCUGUACGACAUGUCGGAACCUUCUCAUGGUCUGUACGACAUGCACCUACUUGGAUCCAAGGUGAGCGUGCGGUGCGAGGUGAAUAAUAUAAGCACUAACACCAUGAUUGCAGGUUAUGAGCUAUCAACAUAAUACAUAUCAACAAUGCACAUGAAUAACAUAAACUCACCUGAUACUCACCUGUGCGUCCACAACACCAAUUCACAUAUAUAUGCAUCAAUUAUCAAUUCAUAUAACUUAUAUCAUGCAUGCAUGGCAUUUGAAAACGUAUUUUCCUUCAAACUCAAUUUCUGGGAAACAUAUCAAUAGUAUAUAGGUAUAAACAGAAAUACUGCCCACUCACUGAUAAGUCGAAGGGUCGUAACCCCCGUGACGUCCCUGGAUGCGCUCGUCCUCGGGAUAGGUGUCACCUAUAUGCGAAAUAACUAUAAAAACGUUAUUUUAAAGCAUAUAAUCAACAAUUCGUAAUAACUUCUCAUACGGUGCUCAAAUUGGGUAUAUGAAUAUACCACAGUGACCUACUUGACGUCACGGACGUCGACAUAUUUUUAAAAUA